Molecule: ribosomal RNA, 1343 nt
Filed under: uncultured bacterium
Lineage: Bacteria
Description: 16S ribosomal RNA
Rfam family: Bacterial small subunit ribosomal RNA
Source: RNAcentral
GACGAACACUGUCGGCGUGCUUAACACAUGCAAGUCGAACGGAAAGGCCCUGCUUUUGUGGGGUGCUCGAGUGGCGAACGGGUGAGUAACACGUGAGUAACCUGCCCUUGACUUUGGGAUAACUUCAGGAAACUGGGGCUAAUACCGGAUAGGAGCUCCUGCUGCAUGGUGGGGGUUGGAAAGUUUCGGCGGUUGGGGAUGGACUCGCGGCUUAUCAGCUUGUUGGUGGGGUAGUGGCUUACCAAGGCUUUGACGGGUAGCCGGCCUGAGAGGGUGACCGGCCACAUUGGGACUGAGAUACGGCCCAGACUCCUACGGGAGGCAGCAGUGGGGAAUAUUGCACAAUGGGCGGAAGCCUGAUGCAGCAACGCCGCGUGCGGGAUGACGGCCUUCGGGUUGUAAACCGCUUUCGCCUGUGACGAAGCGUGAGUGACGGUAAUGGGUAAAGAAGCACCGGCUAACUACGUGCCAGCAGCCGCGGUGAUACGUAGGGUGCGAGCGUUGUCCGGAUUUAUUGGGCGUAAAGGGCUCGUAGGUGGUUGAUCGCGUCGGAAGUGUAAUCUUGGGGCUUAACCCUGAGCGUGCUUUCGAUACGGGUUGACUUGAGGAAGGUAGGGGAGAAUGGAAUUCCUGGUGGAGCGGUGGAAUGCGCAGAUAUCAGGAGGAACACCAGUGGCGAAGGCGGUUCUCUGGGCCUUUCCUGACGCUGAGGAGCGAAAGCGUGGGGAGCGAACAGGCUUAGAUACCCUGGUAGUCCACGCUGUAAACGGUGGGUACUAGGUGUGGGGUCCAUUCCACGGGUUCCGUGCCGUAGCUAACGCUUUAAGUACCCCGCCUGGGGAGUACGGCCGCAAGGCUAAAACUCAAAGGAAUUGACGGGGCCCCGCACAAGCGGCGGAGCAUGCGGAUUAAUUCGAUGCAACGCGUAGAACCUUACCUGGGUUUGACAUGGAUCGGGAGUGCUCAGAGAUGGGUGUGCCUCUUUUGGGGUCGGUUCACAGGUGGUGCAUGGCUGUCGUCAGCUCGUGUCGUGAGAUGUUGGGUUAAGUCCCGCAACGAGCGCAACCCUUGUUCACUGUUGCCAGCACGUUAUGGUGGGGACUCAGUGGAGACCGCCGGGGUCAACUCGGAGGAAGGUGGGGAUGACGUCAAGUCAUCAUGCCCCUUAUGUCCAGGGCUUCACGCAUGCUACAAUGGCUGGUACAGAGAGUGGCGAGCCUGUGAGGGUGAGCGAAUCUCGGAAAGCCGGUCUCAGUUCGGAUUGGGGUCUGCAACUCGACCUCGUGAAGUCGGAGUCGCUAGUAAUCGCAGAUCAGCAACGCUGCGGUGAAUACGUUCCCGGG